GCCAGGGAGGGUUUAGCCACAGAUGUGUUGUAUUUUUGAAAGUGCAAUAACUUGGUAUUUUGAAGACUCGGCAUGUGGCCAGGGCCCCCACCCCUGGCAGCAGGCGGGGCCCCAGGCUGCACCGUGAGGCGUGGUGGGGGUGGGUCUCAGUUUUCUAGCCAGCUACCUCGGUAACUCCAAUUCAGGUUAACUUCCCUAGGGAACAGUGCAGGUGUCCACGGACACCGCCUCCUCGGUGGGGUGGGGGCUGCCACUUCGGAGGGGUGGCACGGACCUGCCUGGCCUCUCCAUUUGGGGUGGUUCCUCCCCCAUCUUCUUGCUCUUGGGUUUUCCGACGGGUACAAGGCCUGCCCGGCUCCCCCCUCCCCCGGGAGCCUCACUCUGGUCUUCCAACAGGACUGGGCGUCAGCUCCCCGCCCGGCUCCACCCGCCCCCCAGUGGCUCCCAGCCUGGGGGGUGGUUCAACGACCAUGGGGGCUCCCGCAGCGGCCCCAGACGCCUCCACUGGGUGCCCAGCCCCCCGCCCAACACCCUUGUCCCCUGGAGGCCGCACCUGGUUCUCCAAGACCGCCUGUGCCCGCCGUUCUUUUUUUGCUUUUAUUCUUCCCUGCACCCCUCACCCUCAGACCCCAGAAUAAUUUUUCUUUGUAUGAACAGAACUCUCCUAGUCAGGAAGCAAUAUCAUUUCAGGUCUAGAGAAGAAAGGGACGUAAAUCUGGUCGAGGGCAAAUUCAGUUUUGCUGUAUAAACUCGGUUGCGAGUUCGCCCCUCUGUCUGCACCGCAGCUGAGGGCCACUGUUUUCUAAUAUUUGUAUUCUAAUUUAAUUGUUUUUAAAACGCAAAUAAAAAGUCAAGGUGAAGCUACCAUAGUGUCCGCCUCUCUGUGGGUCGGGGGCCAUGGCCGGGAGCAGAGGACAAAGCCAGAAGCCCAUCCACGCUCCAUGCUCCUGGCUGUGCCAAGGGACCUUCUGGCUUCAGGAGGCACAGCAUCCAGUCCAGUCAGAAAGGUUCUACCUUGAACUUCGAGGUUCAGUGUGUGUCUGCUGGGCCGGGCCAGUUCAGAAGAGCCACCAAAAUACAAGGAGGGUCCCUGCUCACUCUGAGGGGCCAAGAAGAUACGCACAUGGCUAAUAAGCUCAUAGAAAGAUAUCACCAGUCAACGGGAAUAUGUGCUCCUCAUCCCCACUAAGAUGGCUAGUCAGCAAGGAUCAGGGAGAAGUGAGGCCCUGGAGCAGCCGCAGUGGGAGAGCCCCGGCCAGGGUUGCCAUUUGGCCCAAUGGCUCUGCUCAGGUGUCUUCCCGAAAGGUAAAUGAAAACAGGUUCACAUAAACACUGGUACAUAAGUGUUUGUGUGGUCAUAGCAGCAUGAUUCACAACAGCCAAAAAGUGGUUGGGAAACAACCCAGAUGUCUGUCAACAGAUGGACAGACACACACCAUGCACUCCAUCCACAGUGGAUUAUGCGGGUGCUAAGUCACUUCAGUCGUGUAUGACUCUUUGCAACCCCAUGGACGGUAGCCCGCCAGGCUCCUCUGUCAAGGGAUUCUCC
Molecule: long non-coding RNA, 1549 nt
Filed under: Bos grunniens (domestic yak)
Lineage: Eukaryota; Metazoa; Chordata; Mammalia; Artiodactyla; Bovidae
Description: lncRNA (ENSBGRG00000018499.1)
Source: RNAcentral